Molecule: ribosomal RNA, 1909 nt
Filed under: human gut metagenome
Description: bacterial LSU rRNA
Rfam family: Bacterial large subunit ribosomal RNA (bases 509-1909)
Source: RNAcentral
ACGCGGGCAAUACCUAUUCCUAUGUGGACGAGGAAAUGCGUAACAGGCUGCAAGUGCGCCUUAUUACCCGCACCCUUGCUUUUCAUGUAGGAUAAUCUUUUAGCCCAUGCGGGGAGCGUGUCCCCUUUCCACGCUUCCCGUUAUGGGCUAUUUGUCGUUCCGUAAAAGCAUAUCGGAAACGGUAUGUUUUUACAGGCUGACAAAGCCUUAUUGUUCCUUGACAAAGAAAGCCUUCGGGCAGAAUAAGGCAGACGGAUACAAUUUGUCUGUGUGGAGCCGGUCGGCCGGUGCGCCAUGACCCUGUUGCAAGUCCGCAGGACGGGACCCCUACCAAACAGGUGAGCGACAAAACCAGGCCGCAAAACAGGUGUGGCAGCCUGUGGGCGAGGAUACGCAGACAGGAUAAUGAGACUCCCGCGUUGAACGCCCUCAAAGCAUUGCGCGGCGCACCCAUCAGCAUGGGCCGGGGUGAGAUUCCCGUGGAGCUGCGGCCAGCAGCCGUCCGUUUUCUGCCUCUUUUAUGGUUUUAAUGAAAUGGCAUGAAAGGGGCCUUAUUAUGCAGAAAAUUCAAUCUGAAAAUAAAUAUGCCCCGCCUAUGCGGAGCCGAAGCGAAAGCGAGUCUUAAGAGGGCGCGAGUUGCAUGCAGUAGACCCGAAACCGGGUGAUCUAGCCAUGACCAGGUUGAAGUUGGGGUAAAACCCGAUGGAGGACCGAACCGACCCCCGUUGAAACGUUGGCGGAUGAGUUGUGGCUAGGGGUGAAAUUCCAAUCGAACCCGGAGAUAGCUGGUUCUCCCCGAAAUAGCUUUAGGGCUAGCGUCGAGAGAAGAGUUGCGUGAAGGUAGAGCACUGAAUAUGUGAUGGCCCCAUCUCGGGGUACUGAGCAUAAUCAAACUGCGAAUGUCACGAGAACAUGCUCGGCAGUCAGACAGCGGGUGAUAAGGUCCGUUGUCAAGAGGGAAACAGCCCAGACCAUCAGCUAAGGUCCCAAAAUGUAUGCUAAGUGGAAAAGGAUGUGGAGAUGUACAGACAACUAGGAGGUUGGCUCAGAAGCAGCCAUCCUUUAAAGAGUGCGUAACAGCUCACUAGUCGAAUGACUCUGCGCCGAUAAUUUACCGGGGCUAAGCAUACUACCGAAGCUAUGGAUCCCAAGGGAUGGUAGGGGAGCGUUCCAUGAACGGAGAAGUACGACCGAAAGGACGUGUGGAGAUCAUGGAAGAGAGAAUGCCGGUGUGAGUAGCGGAACGUGGGUGAGAAUCCCACGCACCGAAAACCCAAGGUUUCCAGAGGAAGGUUCGUCCGCUCUGGGUAAGUCGGGACCUAAGGCGAGGCCGAAAGGCGUAGUCGAUGGACAACAGGUAGAGAUUCCUGUACCCGUAUAUAUGUGAAGGAAUGACGGAGAGAGGAAGCUGCAGCCAGCGGCUGGAAGAGCUGGUGCAAGCGAGAUAUCGGGAUGGCAGGCAAAUCCACCAUCCGAAACGAGAAGGCGUGAAGCGUACGGAAAGCUACGGCGAGUACGGAAGGCAGUGGAGGAACUUCCAAGAAAAGUUUCUAACGUUAAGUAUAUAUGGCCCGUACCGAAAAUGGACACACAUGGGUGAGGAGAGAAUCCUAAGGUGAGCGAGAGAACUAUAGCUAAGGAACUCUGCAAAAUGACUCCGUAACUUAGGGAGAAGGAGUGCUCAUAGAGAUAUGAGCCGCAGUGAAACGGCCCAAGCGACUGUUUACCAAAAACACAGCUCUCUGCUAAGCCGCAAGGCGAAGUAUAGGGGGUGACGCCUGCCCGGUGCUGGAAGGUUAAGGGGAGAGGUUAGCGCAAGCGAAGCUUUGAACUUAAGCCCCAGUAAACGGCGGCCGUAACUAUAACGGUCCUAAGGUAGCGAAAUUCCUUGUCGGGUAAGUUCCGACCC